RNAcentral lists this ribosomal RNA (440 nucleotides) under uncultured bacterium. Its description in RNAcentral is "bacterial SSU rRNA". It matches the Rfam family "Bacterial small subunit ribosomal RNA", at positions 338 to 795 of the family's 1533-position model. The record is from RNAcentral.
CCUACGGGAGGCAGCAGUGGGGAAUAUUUCACAAUGGGGGGAACCCUUAUGCAGCAACGCCGCGUGAGCGAUGAAGGCCUUCGGGUCGUAAAGCUCUGCCCUAAGGGAAGAAUAUUGACGGUACCUGCGGAGCCAGCCCCGGCUAACUACGUGCCAGUAGGCGCGGUAAUAGGUAGGGGGCUCGCGUUAUCCGGAAUUACUGGGCGUAAAGGGUGCGUAUGCGGCCCUUCAAGUCAGAGGUGAAAGGCUACGGCUCAAGCCUGGUAAGACUGUGAAACUGUAGGGGUAGAGUGAAGGAGAGGAGCGUGGAAUACCCAGUGUAGCGGGGAAUUGCGUAGAUAUUGGGCGGAACACUUCUUGCGGAGGCGGCUCUCUGGACCGUAGCGGACGCUGGAGCGCGAAAGCGUGGGGAGCGAACAGGAUUAGGUAACCUAGCAGCC